GGUUAAGCGACUAAGCGUACACGGUGGAUGCCCUGGCAGUCAGAGGCGAUGAAGGACGUGCUAAUCUGCGAAAAGCGUCGGUAAGGUGAUAUGAACCGUUAUAACCGGCGAUGUCCGAAUGGGGAAACCCAGUGCAAUUCGUUGCACUAUCGUUAACUGAAUACAUAGGUUAACGAGGCGAACCGGGGGAACUGAAACAUCUAAGUACCCCGAGGAAAAGAAAUCAACCGAGAUUCCCCCAGUAGCGGCGAGCGAACGGGGAGCAGCCCGGAGUCUGAAUCAGCUUGUGUGUUAGUGGAAGCGUCUGGACUGACUGACCGAUAGUGAACCAGUACCGUGAGGGAAAGGCGAAAAGAACCCCGGCGAGGGGAGUGAAAAAGAACCUGAAACCGUGUACGUACAAGCAGUGGGAGCCUCUUAAUGGGGUGACUGCGUACCUUUUGUAUAAUGGGUCAGCGACUUAUAUUCUGUAGCAAGGUUAACCGAAUAGGGGAGCCGAAGGGAAACCGAGUCUUAACUGGGCGUUAAGUUGCAGGGUAUAGACCCGAAACCCGGUGAUCUAGCCAUGGGCAGGUUGAAGGUUGGGUAACACUAACUGGAGGACCGAACCGACUAAUGUUGAAAAAUUAGCGGAUGACUUGUGGCUGGGGGUGAAAGGCCAAUCAAACCGGGAGAUAGCUGGUUCUCCCCGAAAGCUAUUUAGGUAGCGCCUCGUGAAUUCAUCUCCGGGGGUAGAGCACUGUUUCGGCAAGGGGGUCAUCCCGACUUACCAACCCGAUGCAAACUGCGAAUACCGGAGAAUGUUAUCACGGGAGACACACGGCGGGUGCUAACGUCCGUCGUGAAGAGGGAAACAACCCAGACCGCCAGCUAAGGUCCCAAAGUCAUGGUUAAGUGGGAAACGAUGUGGGAAGGCCCAGACAGCCAGGAUGUUGGCUUAGAAGCAGCCAUCAUUUAAAGAAAGCGUAAUAGCUCACUGGUCGAGUCGGCCUGCGCGGAAGAUGUAACGGGGCUAAACCAUGCACCGAAGCUGCGGCAGCGACACUAUGUGUUGUUGGGUAGGGGAGCGUUCUGUAAGCCUGUGAAGGUGGCCUGUGAGGGUUGCUGGAGGUAUCAGAAGUGCGAAUGCUGACAUAAGUAACGAUAAAGCGGGUGAAAAGCCCGCUCGCCGGAAGACCAAGGGUUCCUGUCCAACGUUAAUCGGGGCAGGGUGAGUCGACCCCUAAGGCGAGGCCGAAAGGCGUAGUCGAUGGGAAACAGGUUAAUAUUCCUGUACUUGGUGUUACUGCGAAGGGGGGACGGAGAAGGCUAUGUUGGCCGGGCGACGGUUGUCCCGGUUUAAGCGUGUAGGCUGGUUUUCCAGGCAAAUCCGGAAAAUCAAGGCUGAGGCGUGAUGACGAGGCACUACGGUGCUGAAGCGACAAAUGCCCUGCUUCCAGGAAAAGCCUCUAAGCAUCAGGUAACAUCAAAUCGUACCCCAAACCGACACAGGUGGUCAGGUAGAGAAUACCAAGGCGCUUGAGAGAACUCGGGUGAAGGAACUAGGCAAAAUGGUGCCGUAACUUCGGGAGAAGGCACGCUGAUAUGUAGGUGAAGCGACUUGCUCGUGGAGCUGAAAUCAGUCGAAGAUACCAGCUGGCUGCAACUGUUUAUUAAAAACACAGCACUGUGCAAACACGAAAGUGGACGUAUACGGUGUGACGCCUGCCCGGUGCCGGAAGGUUAAUUGAUGGCCCGAGACUCAGUGAAAUUGAACUCGCUGUGAAGAUGCAGUGUACCCGCGGCAAGACGGAAAGACCCCGUGAACCUUUACUAUAGCUUGACACUGAACAUUGAGCCUUGAUGUGUAGGAUAGGUGGGAGGCUUUGAAGUGUGGACGCCAGUCUGCAUGGAGCCGACCUUGAAAUACCACCCUUUAAUGUUUGAUGUUCUAACGUGGGCCCCUUACCGGGGUUGCGGACAGUGUCUGGUGGGUAGUUUGACUGGGGCGGUCUCCUCCUAAAGAGUAACGGAGGAGCACGAAGGUUGGCUAAUCCUGGUCGGACAUCAGGAGGUUAGUGCAAUGGCAUAAGCCAGCUUGACUGCGAGCGUGACGGCGCGAGCAGGUGCGAAAGCAGGUCAUAGUGAUCCGGUGGUUCUGAAUGGAAGGGCCAUCGCUCAACGGAUAAAAGGUACUCCGGGGAUAACAGGCUGAUACCGCCCAAGAGUUCAUAUCGACGGCGGUGUUUGGCACCUCGAUGUCGGCUCAUCACAUCCUGGGGCUGAAGUAGGUCCCAAGGGUAUGGCUGUUCGCCAUUUAAAGUGGUACGCGAGCUGGGUUUAGAACGUCGUGAGACAGUUCGGUCCCUAUCUGCCGUGGGCGCUGGAGAACUGAGGGGGGCUGCUCCUAGUACGAGAGGACCGGAGUGGACGCAUCACUGGUGUUCGGGUUGUCAUGCCAAUGGCACUGCCCGGUAGCUAAAUGCGGAAGAGAUAAGUGCUGAAAGCAUCUAAGCACGAAACUUGCCCCGAGAUGAGUUCUCCCUGACUCCUUGAGAGUCCUGAAGGAACGUUGAAGACGACGACGUUGAUAGGCCGGGUGUGUAAGCGCAGCGAUGCGUUGAGCUAACCGGUACUAAUGAACCGUGAGGCUUAACCUU
Molecule: ribosomal RNA, 2639 nt
Filed under: Escherichia coli
Lineage: Bacteria; Pseudomonadati; Pseudomonadota; Gammaproteobacteria; Enterobacterales; Enterobacteriaceae
Description: 23S ribosomal RNA
Rfam family: Bacterial large subunit ribosomal RNA
Source: RNAcentral